GCUCUGUUCACUUGACCAUCGAGACGGCUUCUCUAGCUCACGCUGGAGGACUCGGACAGCCUCCGCCCAUUUAGCAACAUAUUGGGAAUUGAGCACGCAACCCUCCUGAUUCAGCCUCUGAGAGUGCUGGGACACCCAGGUGGUACAUUUCUUGAGUUUCUAGUAGGACAAGUGGAAGAAGCCAGUCCCAGAAGCAAGAAGCCAGAACCUCAAAGGUGGAGGAGUGGUUGGAGUCCACCACAGUUCUCCUCUGGAAUCGCUCCACUGCUGCAAAGAUGGGUUGGUGGCCGCAAGGCUGGAGAAACACAAGGACUUCUGUCUGAUGUGUGAGGAAGUGGAAUGAAUAAAAGCUGAACAAAAAUCCAGAAUUCUCCAUAGAUCUGCCAGUUCCCCACAGGAAGCACUAGAGAGAAGGCUCUGCUCGGUUCUUGCAGUGGAGAAG
Octodon degus (degu) is the source of this 442-nucleotide long non-coding RNA. RefSeq lists it as uncharacterized. Lineage: Eukaryota; Metazoa; Chordata; Mammalia; Rodentia; Octodontidae. The transcript has 3 exons. The record is from RefSeq and is a predicted model, not a curated record.